This 4225-nucleotide long non-coding RNA is filed under the name Homo sapiens (human). RNAcentral describes it as "HSALNT0363573". Lineage: Eukaryota; Metazoa; Chordata; Mammalia; Primates; Hominidae. The record is from RNAcentral.
UCCAAUACAUUGUGGCUGAAUCCACUUCAAGUUGGGGUUUUUUUGGGGGUUUUUUUUGGUUGGGUUUUUUUUUUUUUUUUUGCCUCUCACAAAGGAGAAUCCCAGAUACCUAGAGGCCAGAGGUCCAGGGCGAUGGGUGGGCUGUGUCGGGGCCCGGCCCAGCCUGGCCUUCCGACAGCAUCCAGGCAGGCCCUCUUUCCCUCCACCGUCUUGGAUGGGCUUAAUUUAUUGUAGGAAACCCUUGAAGGCGCAGGAGCUUUUGGAGAGCCGGGGACAAUAGGCAUAAAGCAUGCAUUUAAGCCGUCUGAAUGGAGGCUAGAUUUACUGUCUGGGCCAGACGGGAUUUUUGUCCCCAAGUCAUCUCGGAGUACAUUGGCCACUAAAGAUCUCAACAGAAGACGAAGACGGAACAAAAGAAGUAAAUUUUAAAAGGAACUUUGUCAAGGAGUUUUAGAUGUUCACCAGAUAGAAAACCGCGGCUGCCCUCACCGAAAUGACUUUUGGAUUUGCCCAGUGGUUAUGGAUCAGAGGAAGAUGCUAAUGAAGUCGUUUAAAUGCACGUUUGAUGGACCCCAGAGAAUGGGACCAAUUUCAUACAAGCCCACAGCAAGGUUAAGGAAUGAAAGAAGGUGGCCGUUAGAGUUGCUGCCGGGGACAAGGCUCCAUUGUCGGGGCUGCCUUUUUCAGCCGUGAAGCGUGAAGCGUGUUUUGAACUACAGUGUUUACCAACGUGUACAUCCUAGUCUGGCCGACCGGGCCUGCAGAAUUUAUGACCAGGAACAAACCUCUUAGAGGGGAAAAGAAAACAGCUCUUACCAGCUGGGAAAGGAGCUCAGAUCAUGCCCUGGAGAAGCAGGUGACAUCGCGGAAUUUUCCUGUUCCAGAUGCCAGAAGUCUGAAAUGAAGGUGUAAAGCAGGGUGGUUCCUUCUGGAGGCUCUGAGAGAAUCACCCCAGGCCUCUCUCCAGCUUCUGGUGCUGGUAUUCUCAGGCUUGUAGGCGCAUCACCCAUGUCUGCCUCCAUCUUCACAUGGCCUUCUCCUCUGUGUCUGCCUGAAGUCUCCCUUCAUUUCUCUUGUAAGGACAUCAGUCAUUGGAUUUAGAGCCCACCCUAAACCCAGAAUGAUCUCAUCUCAAGAUUACAUCUGCACAGACGCUAUUUCCAGAUAAGGUCACAGUCAAAGGUACCAGGGGUUAGGAUAUGAACAUAUCUUUUUGAAAGACACGAUUUAACCUACAGCAGGUGCUCAGGGCAGUUGGGUGGGGGCCUGUGCUAGGGGCCCAACAGCCAAGGCUUAAAGCCGCACUCCACACCUAGGCCUGUGACACCUCCCACAAGCUUCUUCACCUCUCAAGCCUCAACUUCUACUUCUGCAAACAGGGAACAAUAAAAGUAUCUCCCUGCCCCCACCUUGCAGGGUUUCCAGUUCCAAUGUCUACACACUCACCUGGGAGUUAUCUGAAAUUGUUGUUCACCUGCUUAAACCUUUUGAGUUUCCAGCACCCCCCAGAAGUCCCCACCCUCUAGUCCCUUAGCAAGAUACUGGCCCUGCGUGAGCUUCCCACCUUCCUUGACAGCUGCAUCUCUCAUCAUUAGGACCUGGGCAACACUGCAGAAUAUGGCAGGUCUUCCCUCAUCUCUGUGCUUUGCCUCCAUUCCCUGACUUCUCUCCCAUCCUCCUCCUGUCACCUGGCCUCUCCCCAUCCUACUGGCCUUAAAGCUCAGCUCCUGAAGCCUCCCUGAUGCUCCUCCCUUCAUAGCCCCUCCCAGCCUGGCCACGUGGGCUCGGGCAGCCCAGAGCCUGGGCCUCCUGGUCACACUCUGAGCACACAGCCCAUUUUCUCUCCAGUGCUGGCUUGUGUUUGACACCAUGCCUGACACAUUGGGGGUGCUCAGUAGACCUGUGUGAGAUGGACAGCCUCCCGUACAGAUGGACGGACAGAUGUACAGCACACUGCAGCCCCGUGGAGAUGCCCUGUGUAAGCCACUGAAGCCUCUGGCCAACAGCAGUGGGAACCUGAGACGUGUCCACAAGCAUGCAUGGGAGCUUGGAAGUGGAUCCUUCAGCCCCAGCCAAGCCUUCAGACGAUGCAGCCUCAGGGACAGUAUGACUGCAGCCUCAUGAGACCCUGAGCCAGAAACACCCCUCCAAGCCACUCCCAGAUGCCUGGCCCUCAGAACCUGGGAGGUAAUAAAUAUUUAUGGCUGUUUGAAGCUGCUGUAUCGGGGGACAAUUUGUUACACAGUAAUAGCUAACUGGUGCAGUCCUGGGACUCUUAGCAGUUUGGAGUAUCAGUUAUUUUGCCAAGGCGGGGAAGUUAACAGUGGUCAUUGCAGCAGCUGCACUUGGGGACCACAAUAAAGAAGCUUUCUCAGACUGGUUUGAACAAAGUGGUGAAUUCUCUGCAAGGACACAGAGGUGUCUCUCAAAACCCAAGGAUGGGACAGCAGGCCUCAAGAAGAACUGGAACCUCUGUCCCUUCUGUGCUUCUUUUUACUCCUGUGUUCUCUGCUUCUUGGAGCACUUGGCAGUUGGGAAGUGGCCAUUUCAAUUCUCGUGGUCAAGAAACCAGCUCAGAAAUAACCCAACCAACACAGGUGGGGUCAGGUGUCCAUCCUGGCUCCAUUUGUCAUGGCGGGAGAUGGUGAUGAAGAGAAACAUCCAGGACCAUUGGUAGGGCACCCGAAUGAGAUUCCAGGAGAGGCCAGUUCUAAGAGAAGGGUACUAGAAAGAUACCCAUUGAAGUCAAUACCACAUGUGGCACAUCCUCCUUUCAGGUGGCAAGUGUGUAGCCAAAGCAAGGUUCAGGGUCCAUAUUUGAAAGUCAGAAACUGAAUAAACUGUUUUCUCCCACCCCGAGCACUGUGGGGAACUCUGCUCACAAAUCCACCAUCCACCAUCACCAGCCGUGCUCAUCUGACCAUUCAUGCAGGCUCACACUUGACCUGAUGUGGGUUCUGUCUCCUUUGCUUGAGAAUUGAAAGGCCUGGGAGAUGCAAAAGCUUUAGGCUCCAGCCAUCUCCCCAUGUCAGGUAGGCCUUUUGCCUAGUGUAUCCAGUUGGUAAUGCUGCAGAGAUGCAUGAAGCUGGAGUCAGAGGCCACCUGUAGUGCUGCCCUGACUUCAGACCUGAGCCCAGCCCAGCAGCAGAGAGGGGGCUGGGAGCCAGAGGAGGCCUCACAGUAACAGCACAGACAGGUGGGGGCCCACAACAGGCCACAUGUGUUCAAACUCGAGUGUGGGCAGAGGAGCAUGGGAAGCUCAGAGCCCUGAGCUCACCCCACACCCAACACGAGUGGGGUCACCCAAAAUCAGCCUGUCAGCACUGUCCCAGCAGCCAGUCGCAUGCUACAUUAACAAAUUUUGCACAGGCCAGCAAGCAGGAUCGCUCACCAGCCACCCUCCUGAACUGGCCUAUGGGGCCCCAGGAUGAUGCCAUAGCCACAAGUCUGGAGUUCCUCAAAGUACCUGGUCAGCACAACUCAGUUAAACAAUGGGCAAAAGACCUGAACAGACACUUCGCCAGAGAAGAUGUACAGAUGCAAGUAAGCAUUUGAAAAGGUGCCCCACAUCGUAUGUCGUUAGGGAAUGGUCCAAUCCAGAACACUGAUGGCACCAAAGGCUGCUGAGCAUGUGGAGCAGCAGAACUCUCAUUCACUGCUGGUGAGAAAAAUGGCGCAGCCCCAAUAGGGAACCCUAAUGCAGACUCUGGACUUCACUGGAAAUGACGUGUCAGUGUAGCUGCGUCAGUUGUAACAAAUGCACCAGUCUGGUGGGCGUGUUGAUAACCGGGGCUGCGCACGUGGGGAGAGAGGACCUGUGGGAAUGCUCUACUUUCCACUCAUUUUUGCUGUGAACUUAAAACUGCUCUUACAAAAUAACAUUGUUUGUUGUUGUUGUUGUUGUUGUUGUUGUUGUUGUUUUUAAGUAUCUAGUCAGCUCCACACAUGACCCGGGCAGAGUGGGAAGUUGUAGAGUGCCCCAAGGAGAGAAAUGGAACCAGGUCUCAUGUGGGGCCAAGUGUGGGCUCCCUGUCCUCUCAGCUGGUCCCAGGAACUGAAGGGAAAUUUAGACAACUUGGAGAAAGACACUCUAGGGCUCGGGGCAAAGGGUGGUGUUGAUGAGAACCAUAUUUUUUUAUUGCUGGUGUAAGCACUUGUAUUUUUCUGAUUUUCCACUGGUUCGAUAAUAAGGGUAAAAGACAAUAAAGCAUACUUUUUAAGCUUU